UUGAGCGUGUAUUGCCAGGUAUCCUCCGACUCCACCACAGUUUCAUCGCCGAAAUGGUCGCCGUCGGCGAACACAUCUAAUACGAUUUCCUCGCCAUACUUACCAGUACCAAUUUUAUUUACCUUGCCAUGAGCAAUGAGGAUCACGCGAUCGGCAGAUUGACCCAGCUCAACGAUCGUGUCGCCAGCGGCGUACUCUUCCUGUAAAAACUGGUUUGCCAAGACAGUCAACACAUCAAGGUUGUCAAACCCUCUCAGUAAGGGCAACUCAGUAAGUUCGUGGGGAAUCACUCGCACCGUUGCGCCAGUGUUGGUAAAAGUCAAUUUUCCAUCACCGACGGUAUAACUCAACCGACGGUUAACGCGAUAUACACCACCCUUAGUCUGCACCCAAGGCAAUAAUUUCAACAACCACCGGGAUGUAAUUUCCUGCAUCUGCGGUGCAGAUUUGGUUGUUGUUGCCAAAUUUCUGGCGGCGGCUGUCCCCAAACUUAAUUGGGGUUGUUGACCU
RNAcentral lists this antisense RNA (510 nucleotides) under Kamptonema sp. PCC 6506. RNAcentral's name for it is "Oscillatoria sp. PCC 6506 Saccharopolyspora sRNA 350". It matches the Rfam family "Saccharopolyspora sRNA 350". The record is from Rfam by way of RNAcentral. Lineage: Bacteria; Bacillati; Cyanobacteriota; Cyanophyceae; Oscillatoriales; Microcoleaceae.